RNAcentral lists this ribosomal RNA (223 nucleotides) under Paenacidovorax caeni. RNAcentral describes it as "Acidovorax caeni partial 16S ribosomal RNA". It matches the Rfam family "Bacterial small subunit ribosomal RNA", at positions 972 to 1198 of the family's 1533-position model. The record is from RNAcentral. Lineage: Bacteria; Pseudomonadati; Pseudomonadota; Betaproteobacteria; Burkholderiales; Comamonadaceae.
UACCCACCUUUGACAUGUACGGAAUCCUUUAGAGAUAGAGGAGUGCUCGAAAGAGAGCCGUAACACAGGUGCUGCAUGGCUGUCGUCAGCUCGUGUCGUGAGAUGUUGGGUUAAGUCCCGCAACGAGCGCAACCCUUGCCAUUAGUUGCUACGAAAGGGCACUCUAAUGGGACUGCCGGUGACAAACCGGAGGAAGGUGGGGAUGACGUCAAAGUCCCUAUGG